CCUACGGGAGGCAGCAGUGAGGAAUAUUGGUCAAUGGACGAGAGUCUGAACCAGCCAAGUAGCGUGAAGGAUGACUGCCCUAUGGGUUGUAAACUUCUUUUAUAAAGGAAUAAAACGAGGCACGUGUGCCUUUUUGCAUGUACUUUAUGAAUAAGGAUCGGCUAACUCCGUGCCAGCAGCCGCGGUAAUACGGAGGAUCCGAGCGUUAUCCGGAUUUAUUGGGUUUAACGGGAGCGUAGAUGGGUUGUUAAGUCAGUUGUGAAAGUUUGCGGCGCAACCGUAAAAUUGCAAUUGAUACUGGCAGUCGUGAGUACAGUUGAGGUAGGCGGAAUUCGUGGUGUAGCGGUGAAAUGCUUAGAUAUCACGAAGAACCCCGAUUGCGAAGGCAGCUUACUAAACUGUGACUGACAUUGAUGCUCGAAAGUGUGGGUAUCAAACAGGAUUAGAUACCCCAGUAGUC
Molecule: ribosomal RNA, 460 nt
Filed under: uncultured bacterium
Lineage: Bacteria
Description: partial 16S ribosomal RNA
Rfam family: Bacterial small subunit ribosomal RNA
Source: RNAcentral